This 934-nucleotide long non-coding RNA is filed under the name Marmota monax (woodchuck). The record is from RNAcentral. Lineage: Eukaryota; Metazoa; Chordata; Mammalia; Rodentia; Sciuridae.
GUGAAACAAAGCACAUCUUCAUUUUUAUAGCAGCCACCAUCUCUCUUGAGAAAAACAGGAUUAUUGUAAUUCCAGCUUAGCUGAAAUACGUAAGGCUUACUCAUCCUGUGCAUAAAAUUGAUAACUUGUGCAUCUGGGACUGUCUAUUUCUUUCCUAUUAAUCCAUUUUAGACUUUAUAAGUCAACUGAGCAUUCAGCUUUUGAAAAAUGAUUCUGGAAAAUUAUUUUGCAUAAGUACUAGUAAAUACUGGCAUGUGUUCCUGGCAGGGGAUAAAAAUAUUCCAUUUAGUCUCUGGUGGUCCCAGGAGCAGAAAUAGUGGCUGGAGAAUUGGCUCAGUUUGGGCACAGAAAAGCCUGUGCUGGUCAGCUCUACUUUCUUUUCAUUUAGUGAGGAUGAUUUAUUUUAAAACCUCACUAAGGAAGAUUAUAAGGCAGAUGAGAGAGAGGCACACACACAUAUCAAUAUCCAAAGAGACUAAUAGUGGGAAAACUGUUAGCUUUCUUCUUUGGUUCAUAUAUGUGGCCAAGCGGAAGAUUCUAAUGACGUCAUUAAGUUUAUGUUUGUAGAUGCAGCAUGGCCAAGCUGUUAAUCUUUUUAUAAAUGGUAAGCUGUGGGAUAUUUUUUCAGCUAUAAAAUGACAUGGAUAUUGACAACUUCAGCCUAAUUCUAUCAUUUGCCAUCUAUUUGUGCUGAAGGAAUGGAAAUUGCAGUUCCUUAGAAAAUGCCUGGCUUUUUUUAUGGACUUGAGAGAUCUUCAAAUCUUUUUCAACUGACCGGGGACUAUUACUUAGAAAGAGGGUGGUGGGUUAUUGGAUUAAUUGUGGCUAUUCCUGUAUGUUCCUGUAUUUAAACCAAGCCUAUAGCAACUUGGUAACUGGAAGAUGAAAAAAAAUGAAUCCAAUAAUUAAAAUAAAAGCAAAAUUUGCCACUAGA